Long non-coding RNA from Leptidea sinapis, 557 nucleotides. RefSeq lists it as uncharacterized. Lineage: Eukaryota; Metazoa; Arthropoda; Insecta; Lepidoptera; Pieridae. The record is from RefSeq and is a predicted model, not a curated record. The transcript has 3 exons.
CAAAAUUUGAGUUUUUUAAGAUUUUAUUCUAAAAUUUGGGCGUAUUCACUACUGUAACUCAUGCGCCGGGGAUCGGGAUUCAGUCUGCCGCAAGGUCUCGAGGGUGGAACCCGUGCUGUUUGUUACCGCGUCGGCUAUCGCACUUGCUCACUCACGAGUCACAUGACACGUCACAUUAUUUGAAGAUAAUAACAUUAGCUUAUUGUGUUUGAUAUUUACGUUUGUUUAGUUUAUAGCUUUUUUGUGUUAGCAUAGACCUAUUGUGUUAUUUAUUGCGAAAGGACGCUUUGUGUGUAAAAGAACUAUUGAGUAUUGCGAAAAGACGCUACUGUUUUUUAAACACUCAAAAUGCCAAAAUACAAGAAAAUUGUGCGACAAGGACGUGCAAAAGUAGCAAAGAUGAUUGAAGCUCGCCGGGCUAAAAGAAAUAGACAAAAUAGUGACGAAACGCCAACCACUUCUAAAGAUGCUCAACAAAAUUACUUUGAUAGCAGGUUAAAAGAUAACCAAAGUGAUGAACAACCACCAAUAAUGGAUAUUUCUAAUAUACAACCUAU